RNAcentral lists this ribosomal RNA (757 nucleotides) under uncultured fungus. RNAcentral's name for it is "eukaryotic LSU rRNA". The stretch from base 307 to 461 matches the Rfam family "5.8S ribosomal RNA". The record is from RNAcentral. Lineage: Eukaryota; Fungi.
AAGUCGUAACAAGGUUUCCGUAGGUGAACUUGCGGAAGGAUCAUUAGUGAAGAACCCGGAUGACUACGCUUGCAAUCAACAAGCAGGUCUCCAACCCUUCCUAUCCACGCCGGCCAAGGGGUCCUUUAGGGGGCUCUGGAAGUCGAGAGCGCUGCGCUAGAGUGGGGUGCGUACCAGCCGCGACGGGUAACGUUGCGGAUGGAGGCACUGCACUUGCAGCUGCUCGGUCUAAGCAUUGCGCAAGCAAGGCUUACUUUGAAUCAUGUAGUCAUGUAUGUAUAAAGUAGUAUUACUUAAACAUAAUACAACUUUCAGCAACGGAUCUCUUGGCUCUCGCAUCGAUGAAGAACGUAGCAAAUUGCGAUAGGUAUUGUGAAUUGCAUAUAUUAGUGAAUCAUGGAAUCUUUGAACGCAUCUUGCGCUCUGAGGACAUUCUUCAGAGCAUGACUGUUUGAGGGUUGUGUAUACUUCAUCCCCCCUGGUGCUUAACUGCGGCAGGUGCGGGCAUGGUCAGUGGCCUGAGCUGGUUGCAAGUCCGCAAGGACAAGCAACAGUGCCUGGCUGAAAUGCAUGUAGUAGCCGUCUCCAAGAGUCCUUGGUGGUUUCGCAGCGGUUAUGGCGUUAUAAUACGUUUGCCAUUGCGUGCGACUGUCAUGGACAGACGGGAGAUGCAACAGCUCUUAUUAAACACACCUAGUGUAUGAGAGCAAUCUCACAUUUCAACCUCAAAUCAGUUAGGGCUACCCGCUGAACUUAA